CAGUACAAUUAUAAUUUGAUUAUAGCCGGAGAAUAUCCUACUUCAUUUUUAUCACAAGGACAAGUAAAUUUUGGAGAGUGAAUUAUCUAUAAUGACGAAUCGUUGACCGACUUUUUAAGGGUUCCAAAUGACUAUAUAGAUCAAAUCAAGUCAACAAUACUUGGAAUCUAUGUUAUGAAGGAGCCUAAGAUUAGUCAACAACGUUCUCCUUUAUCAGUCGAUGUUCAUCUCUAAUUAGAAAAUCAUAAUAGCAUUGAUGGAUUUCCGAUAACUCAAUAUACUGAUUUUCCUAAAAUGACUCAUUAUCAAAAUACUCUUACCGGCCGAUUUGAUUUUGAUUUAAACAAAACUAUCAAUAAUAGUGAUCGGUAAUGCUCAAUUAUUGUUUGUUGAUUUUGUCAAUUAUUUAUUAAUUUAUAUUAUUUAUUAUUUUUAUUAUUAUAUAUUUUGUAGAGGUUUACCUCAGCAAGAUAGGGAUAUUGCUCCAAGUUAUGGACUAAAUAAUUAUUUUGGUCAGUCCACACACUUUGAAAUGACGAAAAAUGUUGGGACAUCCUCAAAUUUUCAUGUCUCGCCUACUUUUGAUGCAGAUGAUUAUCGCUAUGUCUAACACUUAUUUUUUUAUUUGAGUAAGUUAAUUGCAUGAGUCAAAUAUUUAUAUAUUUUUAACAUAUAUAGGGAAAAUACUACACAAGAUGAGCUCAUUGAUUUUGUGAAUAUCGAUGAUCGUGACCUUCCUAAUUACGGCUCACCUUCAGCUAGUGAUAGUGAUGACUUGCCUAAUGCUGAGGAAUCAGGAGAUAAUGUUCCAUUUGAGGCAUCAUCUAGUGAUGAUGAUUUUUUGACUCCCAAUUGAUCGCCAAGACCAAUGUCCAUGAGUCCGUUUCGUAAUCAUGAAAUUCCUAUCUUGAUCAUCUCUCGGAUGGUCCAGAUAUCUUUGGUGAUACACAUGAUGAAUAUACAUCACAAUGUACGUGGCAUGAAUCAGAAGAUUUCAUGAAUGAUGCUAUUUAUAUUAAAAAAGACAUGUUAUUCAAUUCAAAGAAGCAAUUGCAAAGAGCAGUUAAACUUCUACAUUUGAACAUAGCAAGGGAGUGCUUUGUUAUUAAAUCAACAAGAAAUCAUGGCGGCGACUUGUUUGCAGGCGUGUAGAACAAGGAUGUCAAUUUAGGUUGACUUCUUUUAUUGAUUAACAUACUAACAUGUGGAAAAUUGAAGACACAUUAAAGAACAUACAUGUGAUAUGGGUACGUGCCGCGAAGGGUAUUUCAACUUGGAUGUUGAGAUGAUUGCUAACAUCCUCCAUGUUGAUAUACAAAGAACGCCAAGGUUUCCCAUCAAAGAUUGUCAAACAGUUAUUCUUAAAGGAUAUGCCAUUUCAGUAAGUAAAAGAAAAACUUAUCUUGAUCGCAAGCAGGCUUUUGAAAAAGUUUAUGGUACUUGGGAGUGUUCUUUUGCCGAGUUACCGAGGUUCAUGGAAGCUUUGAAACACUUCAAUCCUGGAGCAGUAGUCAAUUGCAUGUUGAUAGUCAAGACACAUAUUGGUGUAGAAAUAGUCAAACAAUAACAUCCACCAUGUGGGAAAAAUAUGGAAGAUUUGUUGAUAUUUUUUCGAAAAAAAAUAAUCAGAAAAUGUUUCAACUUAAAGCUAGACAAAAAGAUGAAUUUUUGUGUACUUUAUGACAUAGAUACUUUUAUUUUGUCUUAUAUUUUACGA
This is a non-coding RNA of Solanum lycopersicum (tomato), 1717 nucleotides long. The record is from RefSeq and is a predicted model, not a curated record. Lineage: Eukaryota; Viridiplantae; Streptophyta; Magnoliopsida; Solanales; Solanaceae.